GAUAACCUCAAACAAUCAUAGUCUGGGAGAGGAUUCAAUCUGCUUUGUGAUCUGCCUCAUUAGGGACACCUCCAAAUAUGAAAGACUGGAAGAAAGUAUGCCAUGGGCUAUGUUAGUCCUGCUGUUGUCCUUUAUAGCUUUUUUUGACCUUCUCUCAAGGUUAAAAUUAGUAUUGGAGUCAAGCUUCUAAUUCAGAGAGAGGCUGGUCUGACCCAGAGCAGCCGUUCUGUUUCUCAGUGUGAAGCCUGGUCCAGUCAAUGGAGCCAGCCUUGCUGAGCUCAGCCCUUCUCAGGGCAGAUAUCCCCCAGGAAUCACUGACUCUGCUGUCCUUCCUACAGGCCAAAACUCAGUGAAUCACACUUCAGCUGCUAAUGUCAGGUUGUGAAAAGUUCCAUGCCUGAGGCUCCUCUGCUGUGCUGGUGAAACCUCUGCUGCUCCAUGUUGAUGCUGCUCCCUCGUGCCAUCCCCUGCUCACUGACACAAGACAAAAUGUGUCUGGGCAAGGAAUUGAUCUAAUGCAAUACCAUGUACUCCUUGGACAGAGAUGUUGACCUGAAGCUCCCUCUCAGAGAUCCCUUACAAAGAUACAUCCCAAAUUUCUGAAAAUUGAAGGACUUAUAUUUUUGGGAACUCCAAGGGUGAUUAGCUGUGAUGGAAGCAGCCAUACUGAAGACAACAAGGGUACAGUGCAACAGGCUCAGCAUCACCCACAGGCAUUAGUAAAUCAUGGUAUCAGAAACAUGGAAAAUCUUCAGUUGGUAAAAACUCACAAGCAGGAAAGCCUGAAUCUCAACCUCAUUUCAGUCAGUGCCAGCCAAAGCAGCCACUGUUUGGGAGUGCUGGGGCAGAGCUGAUCCCUGUGCCAGGGCUGCAAUCAUUGGGUGCUGGCAGAGAAAUGUUCCCUUGAAUUGUGACACAGCCAUUUUCAUCUCACAGGAUGAGAUACAGGAGAGGUCAGUGUAAUCACCAUAACCUACUCC
This 980-nucleotide long non-coding RNA is filed under the name Cyanistes caeruleus (blue tit). RNAcentral describes it as "lncRNA (ENSCCEG00000011013.1)". The record is from RNAcentral. Lineage: Eukaryota; Metazoa; Chordata; Aves; Passeriformes; Paridae.